Molecule: ribosomal RNA, 622 nt
Filed under: uncultured archaeon
Lineage: Archaea
Description: bacterial SSU rRNA
Rfam family: Archaeal small subunit ribosomal RNA
Source: RNAcentral
AUAAUACUCCAUAGAUUAGAGACACUGGAAUGUUCUUUAGUCGAAAGUUCUGGCGCCUUAGGAUGGAUCUGCGGUCGAUUAGGUUGUUGUUGGGGUAACGGCCCAACAAGCCUGUAAUCGAUACGGGUUGUGGGAGCAAGAGCCCGGAGAUGGAAUCUGAGACACGAUUCCAGGCCCUACGGGGCGCAGCAGGCGCGAAAACUUUACAAUGCAGGAAACUGUGAUAAGGGAACUCCGAGUACCCGUAUACGCGGGCUGUCCAGGUGUUUAAAAAUCAUCUGAAGAAAGGGCCGGGCAAGACCGGUGCCAGCCGCCGCGGUAAUACCGGCGGCUCGAGUGGUGGCCGCUAUUACUGGGCUUAAAGGGUCCGUAGCUUGAUAAUAGGGUCCCUUGAGAAAUCCGCCGGCUUAACUGGCGGGCGUUCAGGGGAACUUGUUUUCUAGGGACCGGGAGAGGUGAGGGGUACUGCCGGGGUAGGAGUGAAAUCCUGUAAUCCCGGUGGGACCACCUAUGGCGAAGGCAUCUCACCAGAACGGGUCCGACAGUGAGGGACGAAAGCUGGGGGAGCAAACCGGAUUAGAUACCCGGGUAGUCCCAGCUGUAAACUAUGUGCGUUAGGUGU